UUGGUGGAGUGUACUAGGGCAGUGAAUAAAACAAACUUAGGGAGGAGGCUUCUAAUGUUAACAUGCAUGCAACCAAGGCUUUUACGGUUGCAGAAGUCAACAAAUGAGAGCCUCUGGGGGAUGGGAGUGGAGGUAGACACUGCAGGGCCUGGAGUAACCUCUACAUCACCAGAGGAACAGAUGAGGAGUAGGAUAAGGGUACGGCUAAAGGCUAACAGAACUGGACGCCUAGUACGUUCAGAACAGAGAGUAAAAGGAGCAGAUUUCUGGGCACGGUAGAAUAUAUUCAAGGCAUAAUGUACAGACAAAUGUAUAGUAGGAUGCGAAUACAGUGGGGGUAAACCUGUGCAUAUAGUGAUAAUGAAAGAGUUAUUGUCUCUAGAAAUAGCAUUUAAACCAGGUGAUGUCACUGCGUGUGUGGGAGGUGGAACUAAAUUGUUAGCCGAGGCGUGUUGAGCAGUGCUAGAGGCUCUACAGUGAAAUAAAACAAUAGUUACAAACCAGAACAGCAAUCGACACGGCAUGGUGACGUUAGGGAAAGGCAUGCGUAGCCGGGUGAUCAUACAAGUCCAGUGCGUAGCUUCAGGCAGCUAGCGGCACGGGCUAGCAGGCUAACAGAAAGGCCUUAGAGGGAUGACGUGACAGAGGGAAGUCUGUUGUGGCCCCCUCGUGCAGUUACAUCAGCGGACAGAUCAGCAGGGCUCCGUGUGGUAAACCAGGUCAAUUGGAAAAAUAUGUAUAGUGGCCGAAGAAAUAUGUCAGAAGGGCCUCUUAAGCCAGCAGUCCAAUGUGCUUUAGAUAGCUAGCAGGCCGCAGAUUAGCGGCUGUGUGUUCAGGGGUCGUUAGCUGCUAUAAUUCCAGGUGGAAAAAAUAAAUAAAAAUAAUCAUAAUAAAAAUGUAAAAUAAAAUACAAAUAGGUUCAGAGCUUGCGGUAGGAAUCCGGAGAUAUCGAGAAGAAUAAGUCUGACUAGCUCUGGUUUGAGUCGCGCUGUACAGACUGGUGAGAGUUGUCCGGGAUAAAGGUAGCUGAUGACCGCUAGCAAAGGAUAGCUGACUGCUAGCUAGUGGCUUUGAAAUGUAUUCAAUGGGCCUCGUAAGCCAACAGUCUUGUCGUGCCUUAAAUUCUGUAUAAGCGGCCAGUUUGGCCCUGGCAGGCUGACCCUGCGGUAUCAGAGGCUAUUCGACGCAGAGCUUCUCGUCCAAAAAGUUGUUCCCCUUGGCCAUUUUUCCAGAUGAUGUCCCUGUAAUGGCGCAUAGUUAAGCGCAAGAUGACAUUGCGAGGGGAUCCAUCAGAUCUUUGUUUCCCUAGUCGAUUACGUCUCUUAGCUGGUCUUUGAUGCACGGAGGCAACUUUGAUCUAGGAUAUUGACUGCUUCCCUAAUAUCCUCUCCCUCUACCUCUUUUACAACUUGGAUUUUCAGAUUCCACCUGCGAGAGUACCUUUGAGGUUCAGCUACAUUCACACAGCUCCUAAUUUUGGGAUUGCAGUUUAUUCACCUCAUUCUAUAGGAACGUUAUCUUUUCCUUGUUCUCGCUCAUAAUUUUGUGAAGCUGGUUGACAGUUUGACAAAUUAUCGAUCUUCUUUGAUGUUUCUUCGGUAGCCCGCUCUACGAUGGACACUGGAGAAUGUGGCGUCUUGUUUAGUAGGCAGGGACUGGAUUGCAGAGAAAAGUUCAGACAUAGAAAUGUCCUCUCACUUUUUUCACCGGUGGAUUUUUAAUUGUGGUCUGACGAAAAUAGGUUGCAAGGAUUUCAUCCUGGUCAGUUUUGUUCUUUCUCUUGCAUGGCUCGCGGCAUGCUGUGUAUCCGUGCUGCAUGCUGUGUGUAAUAUUUGUGUUGUGGAGAAAUGACCAGGCAGGAGACGGGAGUACAGUCAGUUUUCGUUUAGUCAAAAACCCCUCGUGCUCUACAGUUCGCGGCAUUCCAGUGUGCAUGUGCAUUUCCUAUUAGGUGUAGUAACGUAACACUGCCGUAAUGCAUUACUGCUUAGUAACAGCACAGUAACUAAUAUAAACAGAUGUAGAUCCCAGAUACUACACUGUGUAUCCGGGGCGGCAGUGUAGCCUAGUAGUUAAGAGCAUUGGACUAGUAACCGAAAGGUUUGCAAGUUCAAAUCCCCGAGCUGACAAGGUACAAAAUCUGUCGUUCUGCCCUUGAACAGGCAGUUAACCCACUGUUCCUAGGCCGUCAUUGAAAAUAAGAAUUUGUUCUUAACUGACUUGCCUAGUAAAAUAAAGGUAAAAAAAAAAAAAAUCCAUGCUGCUCUGGCUCUCGUCGUAACUAGCUAGCAUGCCUGCAGUCUUCUGUGAGGCUUGGAUAUUCCGUCUACUGUUGUCUUUCUGUCCUGUUCUUCCCAUUCAACUUGAUAAAAACGAACUCUAAACGUGUCCAAUGUCGCCAAAAACAAGUUAUAGUUAGUUUCUUUCAACAGUGAUAGCCAAUAUUAGACUGUUAACCACCCAACCCGCAAUGUUGCUUUGCCAAGUGAGAAAACACUCCCUCUUACCGCGCCGCCAUCUUGGCUCCCCAUAAAGCCGAAUGUUGUGGCACAGCCAGGCGCUUGCCAGUCAUAAACCCCGCCUAUUUAAAAAAUGUAUCUUCUUAAACUUUGAUUUGAAUCCUACCCCUAAACCCAAUGCCAAUCCCUAAACUAAGAACAAUAGGCACAUUUUGUUGUCACAAAUUUUUACGAUAUAGACAAUUUUGAUUUUGUCUGCUAUUUAGUGUAAACCCGCUGGAGGGUUUUCGAGAACAAGGACCAAUUGAAUCGUAAUCACGAAGCAGGUGGGAUCUAGUUAUGUAAAAGUGUUUGUUUUGCUGUCUUUGAACUUUGAUAGAGAUCAGUCUAACACAGCUAUCGUUAGCUAGUUAACACAUGCCAACAACAACAGAGUACAUAUUUGGUGGGUUUUUUUAACAGUCUGUUCAGCACAUACUAGCUAGUAGCUAACGUUAACUUGCUAGUGAGCAGCUUCACACUUAAAAUGUGCUAUCUCAUAAUGACUAACAAGGUUAUUGUAAUAUUCAUAUGUGUAAACAUACUAAAUUGGAAUUGGAUGCAAUCUACCGCCAUAUCAUACUGUGCUAUGAUUGGUUAAGACCACCCAGAUGGUUAGGUCAUGGUCAGUUUGAUCCUGGUUGGCGAUACUUGAACAUGCGAGUUAUAGCUAGCUAAUAAAGAGCUACGUUAAGAAAUAUCCUGUAGUACUGUAUUUUAUUAUUUUGUACAAAGUGUGCAAAACAAGAUAGUUACUAUAGCUCAUUGCCAACAACAACAGAGUGCAACAUUUGUGCUUUUGUUUUAUGUUAUUUGUAUAGUAUGUGCAGCAUAUACUAGCUAGCAGCUUCACACUCAACAUUUGCUAACUCAGAAUGACUAGGUUAGCUCAUUGAUGUGUUAGCUAAUGUAACGUUUAGACGUCAUGUUACCACAAUAUUCAAGGAUCUGACUCAAUCGCUUCAUGAUUUAUGUGGUCAACAUAACUAAUGGUGUAAUUUCAGAGUCAAAUACAAGUAGCUAGUUAACUUAAAAAUAUAAGUUAGCCUUUCCAGAGAAACCUUAUGUCACUUAGGUAGGAUUAAUGAUAUAGCAAACCUUGUUCAGACAGCUUGACUAUGAAAUAGUAUACUUUUUUGUAACUUUAAUUUAGCUACAAUGGAUGUGCUUGUCUUAAUGUGCAUUGGUUUGCACUUUGCAGCUUUGAUAAUGUGUGGACCACCAUACACAAGCUAGUAGCUCCAUCUUCGUAGACAUGGACAGUACACUGGAGAACUUGGAGCCCAGCAGUCCACUUUGGGACUCGGAGGAACUAAACACCACAGGACUCCUGAAUCAGGCAUACUGAAUGAGAGUGAUUUGCUCUUUGGUGAUCUCAGCAAUGUUGUCACCAUCAACAAUCCCCCUGUCAUCAUCCUUGAUACGUUUAGGUACACUGCUGUUGACCGAUGAAGAGCAUCACUUUGGAUAUGGUUAUUAUGAUUCUGUAUUUACUUGGAACACUUACUACUAUCAUUGGUGCCAUAAAAGUCCAGGUGCCGUGUCUGUCUGUGUAGGUCCUAAGGUAAUAUCUAUAGCUAUACUCCUGAAAAUGUUCACCUUAUGCUUGUGUAGCCCCCAGUACUUUAGAAGGAGACGGCGGUACAAUUGUUUUGAAAACUUUGGAUCGGCUGCUCUCCUCAGCCCGCCUCCCAGUGGAGAUGACACAUCUCUCAGCAGGACCCCCACCUCUCAUCAGAUGUCAAAACGCAGGAAGCUGUCUGUGCCAACCACCAGCAUGAGAAGUGAAGCCAAACCGGGCACCUUGUGGGCGACCAGUGGUUUUGCACCCGCUUUGUCACUCAUGACAACAGACUCGUCUAUGCUUUGUUCUUAUUCAUCACCACCACCCUCAUCCUCCCUCAGUGGGACCCCCUGCCUCACAGGAAGUGACAGCCGGGGAAGGGUUUUGCCGAAACACACCGUCUCAGGCCCCAGUGGCAGAAUCCACAGUGGAACCUGGUCCCACUAGUCACAGCAGAGGCAAGAAGAGGACCUCUAAGAUAGGGGUCUCUACCAAGUCCAGCUCCAAGGCCUCAGCUUGUGCCCAAACUCAAACAAACCCCACCACAGACUCUGUGUCAUACCUGCUAAGCACAGAGAAAGAGAGGUAUACUGCUGGCUGGGAGCUUCCUCUCUCUACAGUUAAGAAGAUGCUUGGGAAAAGGGUCACAAUGGGGGACCAGAGUGUGUGUUUCAGGGGAAAGGGGUGUAUCUGAGCUCCAUCAGCUAGAACUUGACAUUGGUUAAGCAAAUCUCCCCAUUCUUGAUCAAUUUUGCAUGCCUUCUCAAACAGCUACAACUGUAUAUGCAUUCGCACAUCAAGCCUUCUCAUGAGUUGGGCUCGGGGAUGGAACAAUUGUUGAACAUCUGAGCUUGUGGUUGUUUGUGGGGGAAGGGUGAGGAGAGUGUGUAUGUAUCCCACAGCUGUUGCUAAGGGGUAAUGAUGUUAGGGACAGUAUAGGAUGAAUCACAAUAAUUGUUUCCCAAAAUAAUAAUUGCUUGGCAAAAAAUGUAAUGUUUGUAAUGCCAGUCCUGGUUAUAGGUAACAAUACCUUGUAUUAAUGUGCCUACACUAUUACGCAUAUGAUUCAUUAAUUGUGGAAAUAAAUUAAGAUAUGCAAUAUUUUUUUUAAUAUAAGCUUUUAAUGUUUUUUUUUUUUAACAGUAUACAAUUGAGGUGAGGGUGUUGGAAAUGCUUUUGGCUGUUAAUCGGCUUCUGUUCUGUAGGUGGCACUGUGCUCUUUUUAAAGGAUGGGUCCCAAUCUCUCAAAGGCCCUAGAAACCAGGUGGACAGGGGUGGUUGGCCUGUCUCUGGGACAACAACCCAAAUUGGGAUGGGGGGAGAUUUUAGUGGGUGGAAUAGUGGAGAACAAUUGGAGGUUUACUCAGUAGCAGUGCAAAUAACAUGGUACAGCUAUAUGGGCCCACAAUCAUUAUGGGACCUUUUUUAUUGGUAAAAUUACAAACAUAUACAGUGCAUUCGGAAAGUAUUCAGAACCCCCCCCAAUUAUGUAGUGUGUGUGUUGGAGUGACAGUGAGUGUGUAGGGCUCUAAGUGUGUGCAUAGCCAGUGCAAAUAUUGAAAUUAAAGGUCAAUAAAGAUACAAGGUAAACUCAGUCUGUGUAGCUAUUUAUCAGUUGUAUUGCUUGGGGAUAGAAGCUGUUCAAGAGCCUGUUAGUGUCAGACUUCAUGUACCGGUACCUCUUGCCAUGCAGUAGCAGAGAAAAUAGUCUGUGGUUGGGGUCUUUGACGAUUUUCUGGGCCUUCUUUUCACACCGCCUGAUCUAGAGGUCCUGGAUGGCAGAGACCUCGGCCCCAGUGACAUACCCCACAACCCUCUGUAGUGCCAUGUGAUUGAGGGCGGUUCUAUUGCCAUACCAAGCAGUGAUGCAGCCAGUCGAUAUGCUCUCAAUUGUACAGCUGUAUAACCUUUUUAGGAUUUGAGGGCCCAUGCCAAACUUUUUCAACCUCCUGAUGGGGAAGAGGAACUGUCGCACCUUCUUCACGAUAGUGUGUGUGGUUUGGACCAAUUGCAACAUUUACCUGGCGUUAACUCUGCAAAUAGCAUUACUGUGUGAUCUGAAACGUCAUAGUCAGUCGAUCAAUAAUAAAACCUUUUUGCUAAGAGUAUUAUGAUAUCUUUAAUUUACAGUCUGUAGAAACUGAGAAUUGAAAGGUUCUGAACAUUUGUGAAACAGCACAGUUGAAAAAUAUAUGGUAAAUAGAAAUCAAAACUGGAUGGUGUUCAGCA
Long non-coding RNA from Oncorhynchus tshawytscha (Chinook salmon), 6291 nucleotides. Lineage: Eukaryota; Metazoa; Chordata; Actinopteri; Salmoniformes; Salmonidae. The record is from Ensembl.